CCUCUUCCGCGCGCUCCUCCGAGGUGCCCGCGCGGCGACGCCCCGGGCGGCGAAAGAGCUGACGCGGCGAUGAAAAUCUGUAGACACCGAAGCCCGGCUUGAGUAGCUGGGUCUCUGUGGCGCAAUCGGUUAGCGCGUUCGGCUGUUAACCGAAAGGUUGGUGGUUCGAGCCCACCCAGGGACGACAGCGUGUGUUUUCCUCCCGAAUUCAUUUUAAAAUUGCACCCUUGAGAUUUUUAAUUAAAAUAGGAGUACGACACUGCCGUGUUUCUAGGACAGAGGAAGACAACGUCCUCCUAAUACUAUUUGAUGCCUAACGCAGUGGAUCAAAGAAUGACACUGCUUCUGGACUGGCAGCCCAUUCUUUCCUAAUUCUGGUCCUACCGAAUAUGGGGGAAAUGUGCACACAUGCUUCAGGAGACCAGCACAGCAUCGUUCGCCCACAGCAGAACUUGCAAUGGCAAAAACAAACAGGCAACACUCAAUUGCCAUUGACAGGUGAAUAAACAAAUACCACUGGUUUCUCUCAGAAAAUCCGACACCACCAAAAAACAAAUAUAGUUAUUCAGCAUUGCCUGAUCUGCAGCCAAAAGGAUUUGAGGAGCCCAGCAGAUGCAAACAUGCAAGAGGAGUCAUCUCAUGGUAUGGGGAGGCACGACCAUCCUAAGAAACUUUGCUAAUUAAGCUGUGUUACAGCUUUUGGACCAAGGACUUGAAUCUAGGACACCCAGGCUCGUGCAUAAGCAUAUCAGGACCUCUACCAUCUUAAAAACAUUCACAGAAACCUAGAUCUGACAUCCCCUCGCCGGGUGCCAGUCAUGCCGAGUGCCCUCAAGACUUUUGUUCUUCCUGGAAUGCCCUUCGUCUACGCAGUCACACGGCCAACUCCCUAACUUGACUGAAGUACCUGCUCAAAAGUCACCCACCUCCAAGCAACCUUCCAAGUUCACUCAGUCUGAAACAAGACCUCCCAGUCACUCACCCACUUUUCUCCAUAGCAUUUAGUGCCAUCUGACAUUCGUCAACCUCAUUAUUUAAAGACUCUGUACUUGUGAAUUUUCCCAUUUGCAAGUGUAUUUGUAAUCCAAAAAUCAGUAUGCACAGUGGUUUUGUUUCCAUUUACAGACAUGUGCAUAGCAGUGGAAAAUCUGAGUCCCUUGCAGCACAUUUGGUCCAUGUCACAAGGUCCUUGGUAUCUGCUAUGGACCAUUUGGCAUGGGCCAAACAUGCUCACUUGACAUUUUGGAUAGGACCAAAUUUCAAGGACUGCUGGCGUGGACCAAAUGUCUUAUGGGCUUUUUUGUGCUUUUUGUUGGUUAUUUCACUGUUUAAAAUGGCCCCUAAGUAUGUGCUCCAGUGCUGUCUAAUGUUCCUAAGAGCAAGAAAGGUGUGAUGUGCUGCGUGGAGAAAAUUCGUGUGUUGGAUAAGCUUCAUUCCGAGCAUGAAUUACACUGCUGCUGGCCCUGUACUCAAUGUUAAUGAAGCAACAAUUUAUACUACGUGAGGUGUCUGUAAACAGAAACACACAAUAAACAUCUGAUUGGGCGACAAAGAUGCUGUGCCCAGAGGCUCCCGGAAACCUAAUUCUGUAUUUCCAUUAGGAGCAGUGGUUCAGUAUUUGCUAAUUCAGCAUUCAUGGCAACUUUCAGAACUAUCAAAAAUGACAAGAGUCGACCAUAUAUAUUCCCUGUUACCACCUACCAUUUUAUAUUUACCUCCCUGUUUAGAAGGUAAAUUACCAAAAGGCAAGGAUUUCCUUUUUUCCCACUGUCUUGUCACUGAGGUUUACAACAGUACUUGGCACUCAGCAGAAAUCUAGAAAUAGAGUGAAUAAUAACAAAUAAAAGAUAAAUACACAAUUCCUCAAAGAAACUCAACUGGCCAAUAAAGUUAUAGAAAAUAUUCAAUAUCACUAAUAAUCAUGAACGUAACCAGUAACAGCCAAAGUUUUUCCGCCUCUUCAAUGCUACUACCUAGUGUUGGCGAGGGUUUAGCAAAGCCAUUAAAGCUAUCAAUAAAAGACUAUUAAAAAGUCUAUUCGGGGAGUUCCCGUCGUGGCGCAGUGGUUAACGAAUACGACUAGGAACCAUGAGGUUGCGGGUUCGGUCCCUGCGCUUGCUCAGUGGGUUAACGAUCCGGCGUUGCCGUGAGCUGUGGUGUAGGUUGCAGACGCAGCUCGGAUCCUGCAUUGCUGUGGCUCUGGUGUAGGCCAGAGGCUACAGCUCCGAUUGGACCCCUAGCCUGGGAACCUCCAUAUGCUGCAGGAGCGGCCCAAGAAAUGGCAAAAAGACCAAAAAAAAAAAAAAAAAAAGUCUAUUUGGUAUAGCAGAAAUUGGCACAACACUAUAAAUCAAUUACACUUUAAUUUUUCAAAAAGUUGGGGAAAAAAAAAAACGACUAUAAAAAAGUGCAUGUUCUUUGACCCAGCAAUUCCACUCCCAGAAAAUAAAAGCUGAUCUACAGAAAAUGUUAUCAAUAAGGGAAAUUAACACUUGACAACAACAAAACAGUAGAAAUCACCUCAAAAUCUAAAUUGGUAAAACAAUGGUAAUACACACUAUGUAACACAAAAGUUGUCCAAAACUAAGACAGAAAAAUGCUCAUUAAAUAUUAAGUAAACACAGAUCACAC
This is a long non-coding RNA of Sus scrofa (pig), 2631 nucleotides long. RefSeq lists it as uncharacterized. NCBI's taxonomy places the organism in Eukaryota, Metazoa, Chordata, Mammalia, Artiodactyla, Suidae. The record is from RefSeq and is a predicted model, not a curated record.